GAUGAACGCUGGCGGCGUGCCUAAUACAUGCAAGUCGAGCGAACAGACGAGGAGCUUGCUCCUCUGACGUUAGCGGCGGACGGGUGAGUAACACGUGGAUAACCUACCUAUAAGACUGGGAUAACUUCGGGAAACCGGAGCUAAUACCGGAUAAUAUAUUGAACCGCAUGGUUCAAUAGUGAAAGACGGUUUUGCUGUCACUUAUAGAUGGAUCCGCGCCGCAUUAGCUAGUUGGUAAGGUAACGGCUUACCAAGGCAACGAUGCGUAGCCGACCUGAGAGGGUGAUCGGCCACACUGGAACUGAGACACGGUCCAGACUCCUACGGGAGGCAGCAGUAGGGAAUCUUCCGCAAUGGGCGAAAGCCUGACGGAGCAACGCCGCGUGAGUGAUGAAGGUCUUCGGAUCGUAAAACUCUGUUAUUAGGGAAGAACAAAUGUGUAAGUAACUAUGCACGCCUUGACGGUACCUAAUCAGAAAGCCACGGCUAACUACGUG
This 497-nucleotide ribosomal RNA is filed under the name uncultured bacterium. Its description in RNAcentral is "partial 16S ribosomal RNA". It matches the Rfam family "Bacterial small subunit ribosomal RNA", at positions 28 to 507 of the family's 1533-position model. The record is from RNAcentral.